This 456-nucleotide long non-coding RNA is filed under the name Mytilus galloprovincialis (Mediterranean mussel). Lineage: Eukaryota; Metazoa; Mollusca; Bivalvia; Mytilida; Mytilidae. The record is from RNAcentral.
GUUUCCUGAAUGUUGAUUUUUGGUGUAGCUAUUUUAGAGUAAUCUAUACGGACUAUUGUUAAUUGUUGAUUGUUUUAAGAGAUUUACUGCUGUUAUUCCAUGUUCCAGUUGUUUUUAAUAUUAUUGUCUGGUGAAUAAAAGUUAUUAUACACUUGAAACGAUUUUGUGUUUGCAUUCAGAGCAUCAACGUAAAGGCGGAUCUGAUACCUUAUUACAUUACAUAUAAAAAUACAAUCCGUCUCACACACACACACACACAUAAAAAGGAGACUGCGCUGACCUAGAAACUAUAUUUGUGUGAUAUGCAGUAGCAGUAUUAGUAAUUAUUUCAUGUAUUCUGAGCCUUCAUAUUUCCUGUUAAAUUCUUUUGGUUCGUUGUUGGUGUCUGUCUGGUCUGGUGGUUGGUUUGGUUGGUUAGAAAGGUUCUCACCGGUUUGCGAACACGUUACAAUAUAU